UGGGGGCCUGGAAUGGGAGUGCAUUCCAGUCCAUCCCAGUCUGUCCCAAUUGCUCCCAGUCCAUCCCAGUCAAUCCCAGUCAAUCCCCAUCAAUCCCAGUUCAUCCCAGUCCACCCCAGUCUAUCCCAACUCCGCAGGGCUGGGAGAGGCUUGGGGUGGGAUUUGGGAGCGGGUUGGGAUAUUUUUGGGAGCAGGUUUGGAUAUUUUUGAGAGCAGGUUUGGAUAUUUUUGGGAGCAGGUUUGGAUAUUCUUUGGGAGCAGGUUUGGAUAUUUUUGGGAGCAAAUUUGGAUAUUUUUUAGGAGCAGGUUUGGAUGUGAUUUGGAGCAGGUUUGGAUAUUUCUGGGAGCAGGUUUGGAUAUUUUUUAGGAGGAGUUUUAGGUAUUUUUUGGGAUUGGGUUUAGAUAUUUUUUAGGAGCAGGUUUGGAUGUGAUUUGGGAGCAGGUUUGGAUAUUUUUGGAGCAGGUUUGGAUCUUUUUGGGAGGAGGUUUGGAUAUUUUUGGAGCAGGUUUAGAUAUUUUUGGGAGAAGGUUUGGAUAUUUUUUGGGAGCAGGUUUGGAUAUUUUUUGGGAUCGGGUUUAGAUAUUUUUUGGGAGCAGGUUUGGGUGUUAUUUUGGGAGCAGGUUUGGAUAUUUUUGGGAGCAGGUUUGGAUCUUUUUGGGAGCAGGUUUGGAUAUUUUUGGGAGCAGGUUUGAAUAUUUUUGGGAGCAGGCUGCUAUGUUAUUUGGGAGCAGGUUGGGAUAUUUUUAGGGCAGGUUUGGAUAUUUUUGGGGAGAAGGUUUGGAUAUUUUUAGGAGCAGGUUUGGGUAUUUUUGGGAGCAGGAUCCACCUGGUCCUGCCUUAUCCCACCUGACUUUAAACUCCUGCGGGUUCCUCACAAGGAUAUUUGGGAAUUCACCCUUUCCCAGCUGCUCCAUGGGCUCUGCUUUCCAGGAAUUCCUUUGCCAGACCCUUUGUUACUUCCCAAAUCCUUUGGGAUCAGCUGGGACAGCAGAACUCUUGGAAUUUUCAAGGGGUUUCCUUCCCUUGGGAAGAGCCUCAGACUCUGGGAAAGGUUUGGGGUGAAAACUGAGGAAUUUGGGCCAAGCCCAACUCCCCCUUCCCCCCUCUGGGAGGGGACUGAGGCUUCCCAGCCCCCAAAUUAAGCCAGGAUUAAACUCCCUCCUCCCUUCCCGGGGCUUUUCCAGCCCUAAAACGCUCCCGGGGUUAUUCCAGAGCCUCUGGAAUGCGGUUGGGAUCCCAGCCCGGGAUAUCCCAGCUCGGGGAGAGGAAAACUGGGAGCUUUGGAUAAAUCUGGGGGGGCUCCAGACCAACCUGGAGCUGCCCUGAGGUUUUCCCGGGAUGUAAUUCCGGGUUUUUUCCCGUUUUCCAGGUACGAGGAUGAAAUCCGUCUCUGCAGCGGGAUGGAAUUCACCUUCAUGGAGCUCA
This is a long non-coding RNA of Lepidothrix coronata (blue-crowned manakin), 1426 nucleotides long. RefSeq lists it as uncharacterized. Lineage: Eukaryota; Metazoa; Chordata; Aves; Passeriformes; Pipridae. The transcript is spliced from 3 exons. The record is from RefSeq and is a predicted model, not a curated record.